This 486-nucleotide ribosomal RNA is filed under the name uncultured bacterium. RNAcentral describes it as "bacterial SSU rRNA". It matches the Rfam family "Bacterial small subunit ribosomal RNA", at positions 29 to 526 of the family's 1533-position model. The record is from RNAcentral.
AACGAACGCUAGCGGGAUGCCUCAAACAUGCAAGUCGUACGCGAAAGUACUCUUCGGAGUGCGAGUAGAGUGGCGCACGGGUGCGUAACACGUAACUAACGUACCCCUUCGCUGGGGACAACUCCGGGAAACCGGAGCUAAUACCGAAUGAUCUGAUAAGGUCUGCGGACUUUAUCGGUAAAGCCUUAGGGCGCGAAGGGAUCGGGUUGCGGCCCAUUAGUUUGAUGGUGGGGUAAAGGCCUACCAUGACUACGAUGGGUAGCUGGUCUGAGAGGAUGAUCAGCCACACUGGAACUGGAACACGGUCCAGACUCCCACGGGAGGCAGCAGUUGGGAAUCUUGCACAAUGGGCGAAAGCCUGAUGCAGCAAUCCCGCGUGAGUGAUGAAGGCUUUCGGGUCGUAAAGCUCUUUCAGCAGGGAAGAAUAACUGACGGUACCUGCAGAAGAAGCACCGGCUAACUACGUGCCAGCCGCCGCCGUAACAC